GAAACUGAUUGUCACGCACGCGUCUCUCGUAGCUUUCUGUUGAGAAACGCUCAACUCAUUUCUUCAUGGAGGGAACGAGAAAACUAGGCGAGGCAAGGAGGAUCUUAUGCUAGUAUGUUAUUGGUGGGUGAUUCUUGGUUACCCCUGCUGAGGUUUCUCACUUGCACACUGAAAUACUCUCACAGUCCAAAUGUUGCUUGAAUCCUGCUGUCGUAAAUUCACGUUCGAUACUUUUCACGUGUGAAAUACCUUCUCGCUCAAGGUUUAUAAAUAUUUAUUGAUUAGAUUCUACAACAAUCUUGCUCAUGAUAAAAUAUCUUGCCUGUGAGUACCCCACGAAAGUAUCGUCCGAGAGUCUCAGGACUUCAGAGGAGCAGAGACGAUCCAUAGCCAAGAACGGACCACAAUUCAUUUCCAGAGCCUUGACAUUCACUAUGGAGUACGUUCAUAUCUGUGUACACCCCAACUAUCCCGUUUCUCUCUGACUUGGUGCAAAUGGGAACGAGAUAUCAUUAUCGGUUUUAAUGGCUCCGUAAAAGAUGAAAUAUGGUGGAAAGUUGAUGUAAGAAAAAACCACUUCGGACCGCGGGUAUGUACGUACGUACGUUCGAACAUGAACUACAUGGAACAGAAAGAGAGAACUCUGUAGAGUCAGUGGGAAAGCUCCGAAUUUUCCACUGUGGACGGUCGAAAGGCUUCCAAUGGUUAUUGUCAAGCAACAAACGAUAGGGAGGACCCAGAAAUUGCGAGAUGGAGUAAGAGAGAGAAGAGCCUGAGUGGGACUGAUCCUCUUGAGGAAUGAAAUGGAGGCUACAAAAGAGUUUGAUUUUUUAUUCGCCCGUAUUCCUCUUGGAAUUCAAAGCAAUUUUGAGUGCCAUCCAAAGAUCUACGUUCGCCUGAGCAUCCAAAUGGCGAUGGGCAAAGGUAAAAGGACUGGCUCACUCUGUUGAAGUGGGAAUCGAUUUGGCUCAAAGAUUGCUUUUUUUGCGGCCUAUUGAAAUGGAUUGAAACGACCUUUCCGAGAUGGGGAACGAGUGUUCGUCCCACCCAAACUUGAUUGUGGGUUGUGUUGGCACCGUUGUGUUCACAACUUCAGGAUGCUACAACAAAGGACAACAAAAGAACUAUUCCGAAGUGUGAAAUGAAUGGAGAGGAAGGCCUUGAUGAAUAUCAAAGGUCGAGCAGCGAGCAAAGAUUGAACUUCGGAUCUCCAAAUGGUCGGUUCAAAGUCCACAAACUCUCGUGUUGUCAGCGGAAAACAAAAAAAGGAAGAAGGCCAGGUCACUCUGAAGUUCCACGGCUUAUUUUCCGUGCUCCCCUCUUAGGAUCGGGUCAGUUCAUUGAUUGGCCUUCAGAAGUUUUUCAUAUCCUUAAAAACCGUUAUGUAGGGUGAAAAGGGAAGAAAGGAGAAAGAGGAAGAAGAGAAGUGGAGGGAAGAGAUUCGGGAAAUCGCUUUCCCUGAUCCCCCUCUCUUUCGUUCUCAAUCUGCUAGUCGAAGGUGUCUUGGUCGAGAAUUUUGAACAUCAAGGAGAAUAGCAUAUUCAGUUAGCCACGUCAGGAAUAAAUCCGGAAAGAUUAAAGGCCGAACUUGGAAGUCAAACAUUAAAAAGGUGUUAAUCGAGGUUUGCGAAAGUCAAAUUGAAAGCUAUGUCCCGAAUUGCUUCAAUGUCAGAAACCGAGAGUGUAGCUUUAAAUUGCUGACCCCUAGAUAUUUUUUAACGAAUGGCAUUAAGGCGCUCUAGUGUUAUCAGUAGUAGACCUCGAAAAUAAAAGUUGUCAAACAUUUUUAUCUUACGUGGGAAAAAAACAAGGAAUUGAGAAAACAUGAAAAAAGCAGAAAAUACCCGAAAAAAGCUGUAGCAAUGACAAAAAGGUGGGUUUUACGCUCCUUUGCUGCGUUUUUUUUUCUCUUAUAAGAUGUUUGGCACGCAUCUGGAUUUACUUGGCUAAUUUUGAGUUUCUUCAUCUUAUUUGAAAGCAAUCAAAAACCAUUUAUUGCAGUGUUCGACAUGAACACUGUUUUAAUUGCAACAGAUGGUACGAAUUCUGUUCUUGAGCUUAGAACUACAGGUUAGGGCACGUUUGUUCACAAAAUGGUUUUGGUUUUUCUUUGGAUCAGACCUAUGAUGGCAGGCAUGGCCAGCUCCACUGCAACUCCCUUUUUUGUUGACGUUCCCAACCAGAAAAAUGGGGGUUGAAUUUGUUAGUUGCUAAAACCUGAAAAAAUACACUUCGUGUUUGAUUCUUCGUCUGGUCAGGCUACAGGGAAAAGGAGAUUAAACAGGGAUUAAAAGGUUAGAAGAAAACAGACAAGGACCCAAAUGAUCAAAUCACUGUAAAUGGCGACGAAGAGUAGAAAAAGGGGGUGAAAUUGGUAAAAAAAAAAGGUGGAAAAUUGGAAAUUUGGCUCAAAAAAACAGCUUUAGUAAGUUAAAAAGCUUGUUUCGGGUUUUAACUAGUUUGUUCGACGUGUAUUUUUCAGCUCCGAGGUACUGUAAAUGACGUGGGAAUUAAAACAAGAUUUUGUGAUAGCAGUAAAUAUUGAUAUGCGAAUUAAGACGAAACGAGUCUGGAAACGACGGACCCCAUCAUUGUUUGUUUUUUGAGAUAACAUUCCUGAACUAAAUUGUGGUCGAAUUCUCGUUCCCAAUCAAAUAAAUCCAUCUUAGACUAAAACUAGACUCCUGUAUUGAUUAAUCUGCUUCGUAAAUUUUGUCGACAAGAUAUCGGCACCAAAAAUCAAUAUCUCUCUAGUUGUUCAAAGAGUUUUAAAUAGGGAACAAAGUUCACAAAGAUAAGUCGCUUUGAGCAUGAAAAGCAACUGCAUCUAAUCACUUCGUAUUCAUUCGAGUUCGGUUGUGGAAAGAUCUUUCCCAUUAAACCAAAUGUAUGAUGGCCUUCAUUGAUGUUUAGAGAAAAAAGACCUUGAAAGACCCUCGACUCUGACUGAGCCUUCAAGCAGGAAACAGGACCUGAUAAGGGUGGGCAGAGCCCCUUGAAAGGAAGGAGAGGGAAACGAAGAAGGAAGUAUGGCCAGCAGGCAGGCAGCCAGGCAGACAGGCAGGGAGGGCAAAGAGGAAGAGAAAAAGAAAGCAGGAUUUGGUGGGCUAUGGCCCAUCCAGUUCACUUCUUAUGCACACCCGUGCUUCCAUUGGCCACCCACACCCUUGUAGUCUACUACAAGACGAUAAUUCGUCUUUCGACUUGGGGCAGGUUGAAGUAGUCCGGAACUGGAACGAGCACUUUGAUUGUCCUCGCAAACUUUUCACGAGAGUGACAAGAAAAUUAUCAUGCUUGACCCUCACGGUUUGGCCCUGGACGCGGGGCAUUCUCAGCUCCACAGAGGCCACAUCCGAUGGGAAUACGGAGCCUUGGGUCAGUGGCUAACUUCAAACCUGCUCGGCACGUAUUCAAAAUCCAGCUGAAUUACACGUGGAGGACAGGUCGGAGAGACCGUGUGCUUCAAGGUCAGUGGAUAAGCUGGGAUAAACGGGAGGUCCAUCCGCUCAAGUGGAAAAUGGAAAGAGGCUCGAGGAUUAAUUGAUGCCGCUCGAGUCCGUGGUGAGCUCAUCAGUAUUCGCAGAAACGGAUAUCGUUUAGCCAUCCCUGCCGUUAGUCACCAUCUCCCAGGUUCCUGUUCCACGCCAACAUGGGACCAAUGUCUGAAUGAGAGCAUUUCACAUGAUCACCCGAGAGAGGUUCCAUCUCUUCGCUGCCGACGAUUUGGGAACCCUGGAUUGAGCUCAGUACACUUUCACUCCAAGCCAAACGAAGGCCAACCUCCAGCCCACCACCGCGUAUGCGGUGGUGUUCCCCCCCUAGUACUUAUGCUACUUGGAGAUUCGUGGUCACCAUGGGAAAGACCUCUAGAGCCUAACAAGCUUGAUCAAGAUGGAUCUUCACCCAAAUCCGAGGAGUUUAGUUCCAAGCCAAGGUGUGAGAUCGAAAGAAGAACUGUUCCAUGGCAAUCUUUAACCAACUACACAAAACGAUGCUGUGCAAUAUGUUUUUUACCUAUAGUGGAUGCUUCACGGUAUUCAUGUACUAAUACCAGGGAGUGAAGCAUAUGGGACGGGAUGUGCCCGAGGUUCUAAAAACCCGAUAAAUAAAGUUUCCCCGGGUCAAUAAAACGCGACCUGUCCGGUCCUUGAUCUAGUCUGCA
Molecule: long non-coding RNA, 4162 nt
Organism: Tigriopus californicus
Lineage: Eukaryota; Metazoa; Arthropoda; Copepoda; Harpacticoida; Harpacticidae
Exons: 2
Source: RefSeq, a predicted model, not a curated record